UAGAGUUUGAUCAUGGCUCAGGACGAACGCUGGCGGCGUGCCUAAUACAUGCAAGUCGAACGAACUCUGGUAUUGAUUGGUGCUUGCAUCAUGAUUUACAUUUGAGUGAGUGGCGAACUGGUGAGUAACACGUGGGAAACCUGCCCAGAAGCGGGGGAUAACACCUGGAAACAGAUGCUAAUACCGCAUAACAACUUGGACCGCAUGGUCCGAGUUUGAAAGAUGGCUUCGGCUAUCACUUUUGGAUGGUCCCGCGGCGUAUUAGCUAGAUGGUGGGGUAACGGCUCACCAUGGCAAUGAUACGUAGCCGACCUGAGAGGGUAAUCGGCCACAUUGGGACUGAGACACGGCCCAAACUCCUACGGGAGGCAGCAGUAGGGAAUCUUCCACAAUGGACGAAAGUCUGAUGGAGCAACGCCGCGUGAGUGAAGAAGGGUUUCGGCUCGUAAAACUCUGUUGUUAAAGAAGAACAUAUCUGAGAGUAACUGUUCAGGUAUUGACGGUAUUUAACCAGAAAGCCACGGCUAACUACGUGCCAGCAGCCGCGGUAAUACGUAGGUGGCAAGCGUUGUCCGGAUUUAUUGGGCGUAAAGCGAGCGCAGGCGGUUUUUUAAGUCUGAUGUGAAAGCCUUCGGCUCAACCGAAGAAGUGCAUCGGAAACUGGGAAACUUGAGUGCAGAAGAGGACAGUGGAACUCCAUGUGUAGCGGUGAAAUGCGUAGAUAUAUGGAAGAACACCAGUGGCGAAGGCGGCUGUCUGGUCUGUAACUGACGCUGAGGCUCGAAAGUAUGGGUAGCAAACAGGAUUAGAUACCCUGGUAGUCCAUACCGUAAACGAUGAAUGCUAAGUGUUGGAGGGUUUCCGCCCUUCAGUGCUGCAGCUAACGCAUUAAGCAUUCCGCCUGGGGAGUACGGCCGCAAGGCUGAAACUCAAAGGAAUUGACGGGGGCCCGCACAAGCGGUGGAGCAUGUGGUUUAAUUCGAAAGCUACGCGAAGAACCUUACCAGGUCUUGACAUACUAUGCAAAUCUAAGAGAUUAGACGUUCCCUUCGGGGACAUGGAUACAGGUGGUGCAUGGUUGUCGUCAGCUCGUGUCGUGAGAUGUUGGGUUAAGUCCCGCAACGAGCGCAACCCUUAUUAUCAGUUGCCAGCAUUAAGUUGGGCACUCUGGUGAGACUGCCGGUGACAAACCGGAGGAAGGUGGGGAUGACGUCAAAUCAUCAUGCCCCUUAUGACCUGGGCUACACACGUGCUACAAUGGAUGGUACAACGAGUUGCGAACUCGCGAGAGUAAGCUAAUCUCUUAAAGCCAUUCUCAGUUCGGAUUGUAGGCUGCAACUCGCCUACAUGAAGUCGGAAUCGCUAGUAAUCGCGGAUCAGCAUGCCGCGGUGAAUACGUUCCCGGGCCUUGUACACACCGCCCGUCACACCAUGAGAGUUUGUAACACCCAAAGUCGGUGGGGUAACCUUUUAGGAACCAGCCGCCUAAGGUGGGACAGAUGAUUAGGGUGAAGUCGUAACAAGGUAGCCGUAGGAGAACCUGCGGUUGGAUCACCUCCUUA
Molecule: ribosomal RNA, 1562 nt
Filed under: Lactiplantibacillus plantarum
Lineage: Bacteria; Bacillati; Bacillota; Bacilli; Lactobacillales; Lactobacillaceae
Description: Lactobacillus plantarum partial 16S rRNA
Rfam family: Bacterial small subunit ribosomal RNA
Source: RNAcentral